GCAUCUCGGAUAUUACUGCAGAGAAAAUGAUCGAAAACUGACUUAUCGAUUUCUUUUUAUGUCCAUGGAAGAACAAUGCUGAUGAAGAUGUAUGUUUAACCAAAACUGUGGCUGAUGUAGUUAAUAGGAUAUAGUGCAUUGAUCUAACCGGUGGCUGAUGUGGGUGCAAACGUUUUAAUAGGGAAAAUUGCUGGAUGGUCCAUGUCAGCAUCUCGAUGACUGGCUCUAAGAUCGAUGCUACUGUUGAUUUUUCCUAAUUCCGUUCCGCUGCCAGGUUGCGUCUGAGUAACUUCUAUGUUACUGUUGCCACUAGAGCUCAAAAUACUUUGCUGCCUAUGGUAUUUGUCGGUGGCAUCUUGAAGCAAUCUCAUCGUGCCGCCGGAAUCUGAACCAGGUGAGAGCUCUUCUUCUCGCUCCGGCUGGAUAUUCAAGUCAAUUUGGCCUUUAAAGGGUGAACUCGAGGACUUUAACCUGUUAGUAUCAUCAUCCAAAUUCUCGCUGACAACCUUUUCCGGAUUCAGGCUGCUGUUUCCCGCACUAGUAGUGCAAGGGAGAGGCUCAUCGCCCACUACUUUAUCGGGCAAUGAAGGCUGCUGCUUCUUGCGUGUAGCGUCUGCUUCUUUUUGCGAUUGUUUCUUCUCACGCCGCAGCAUUAGGGUGC
Molecule: long non-coding RNA, 661 nt
Filed under: Gossypium raimondii (Peruvian cotton)
Lineage: Eukaryota; Viridiplantae; Streptophyta; Magnoliopsida; Malvales; Malvaceae
Description: long non-coding RNA (GRAI_LNC008804)
Source: RNAcentral